AUUGAACGCUGGUGGCAUGCCUUACACAUGCAAGUCGAACGGCAGCACGGGUGCUUGCACCUGGUGGCGAGUGGCGAACGGGUGAGUAAUACAUCGGAACAUGUCCUGUAGUGGGGGAUAGCCCGGCGAAAGCCGGAUUAAUACCGCAUACGAUCUACGGAUGAAAGCGGGGGCCCUUCGGGCCUCGCGCUAUAGGGUUGGCCGAUGGCUGAUUAGCUCGUUGGUGGGGUAAAGGCCUACCAAGGCGACGAUCAGUAGCUGGUCUGAGAGGACGACCAGCCACACUGGGACUGAGACACGGCCCAGACUCCUACGGGAGGCAGCAGUGGGGAAUUUUGGACAAUGGGCGAAAGCCUGAUCCAGCAAUGCCGCGUGUGUGAAGAAGGCCUUCGGGUUGUUAAGCACUUUUGUGCGGAAAGAAAUCCUUGGCCCUAAUACGGUCGGGGGAUGACGGUACCGGAAGAAUAAGCACCGGCUAACUACGUG
Molecule: ribosomal RNA, 486 nt
Filed under: uncultured bacterium
Lineage: Bacteria
Description: partial 16S ribosomal RNA
Rfam family: Bacterial small subunit ribosomal RNA
Source: RNAcentral